GGGAGGGCCAUUAGAGUAUUUGUAACCACUGACUGAGAAGCUGAGCACUUCUUUCUGACAGAGACUGGACACUCAGAAAAUAAUAGCUCUCUCUGGGGGGCUCACCUCUUCUCCCUUCUACCAACGCUACAGCUGCCCUCAACCCUCCGUGGCAUGGCCAGGAAGCAGCAUUCUAAGGACAGAUGCCUGAACGAACAUUAGCCCAGAGCCAGAGAUGGAUUAACAGAGUAGGAGGGCGCCUGCCAAUGAAUGAGACCACCAGAUCAAAGCAGACCAAAGAAAAAGGAAAGCGACAGACCCUGCCGGCCUACGUGAGCUCCUGCCUCCUGCUGCCUCCUGCGUCUGAACGGCCAAGGCCACUGUGCCCCUGACUUUCAGUGAUAGGCCAUGAGGCCAGUGAAAUGGGUCACCUGGGGGUGCUGUGUGCCUGUUUUCCUGCUGAAUUUGACAGUGGAGCUUCUGAAGCAGGAGCUAUUGCAGCUACAGACCCACAAUGCCUGAGCCCGUAAAUUCUU
Molecule: long non-coding RNA, 515 nt
Organism: Condylura cristata (star-nosed mole)
Lineage: Eukaryota; Metazoa; Chordata; Mammalia; Eulipotyphla; Talpidae
Exons: 3
Source: RefSeq, a predicted model, not a curated record